RNAcentral lists this small RNA (1972 nucleotides) under Pan troglodytes (chimpanzee). RNAcentral describes it as "processed transcript". The record is from RNAcentral. Lineage: Eukaryota; Metazoa; Chordata; Mammalia; Primates; Hominidae.
AGCCGGAGAAGGGGCGGGGUCUCAGCUCCUACUUCAUUCUACGGCCGAGACCGGAGGAUGUUCCCUGCUCAGGAGGAGGCCGACAGGACCGUGUUUGUUGGGAAUUUAGAGGCCCGAGUUCGGGAAGAGAUUCUGUACGAGCUGUUCCUUCAGUUUCUUAUAGGCGGGGCCACUAACCAAAGUGACUAUAUGCAAAGACAGAGAAGGAAAGCCAAAGUCUUUUGGAUUUGUCUGCUUUAAACACCCAGAAUCGGUGUCUUAUGCCAUAGCUUUGCUGAAUGGAAUUCGUUUAUAUGGAAGACCAAUUAACGUGCAGUAUCGAUUUGGGAGUUCUCGCUCUUCUGAACCAGCUAACCAAAGUUUUGAGAGCUGUGUUAAGAUAAAUUCACACAACUACAGGAAUGAAGAAAUGGUGGUGGGCAGAUCUUCCUUUCCCAUGCAGUAUUUUCCAAUUAAUAAUACUUCUUUACCUCAAGAAUAUUUUCUCUUUCAGAAGAUGCAGUGGCAUGUGUAUAAUCCAGUGCUGCAACUUCCUUACUAUGAAAUGACAGCUCCACUUCCUAAUAGUGCAUCCGUGUCUUCCUCACUGAAUCAUGUUCCAGAUCUUGAGGCUGGACCCAGCUCAUAUAAAUGGACUCACCAACAACCAAGUGACUCUGACCUUUAUCAGAUGACAGCUCCACUUCCUAAUAGUGCAUCCGUGUCUUCCUCACUGAAUCAUGUUCCAGAUCUUGAGGCUGGACCCAGCUCAUAUAAAUGGACUCACCAACAACCAAGUGACUCUGACCUUUAUCAGAUGAAUAAACGAAAGAGACAAAAGCAAACAAGUGAUAGUGAUAGUAGCACAGACAACAACAGAGGCAACGAAUGUAGCCAAAAGUUCCGAAAGUCUAAGAAAAAGAAAAGAUACUAGUAUUACCUACACUGAUCUUAGUUCUCUUAUGAAAAAAAUAAGAUGUUAUUCCAUCAAAUAAACAAUGUCAUGGCUAUCUUGUCUUUUGAAAUAUAUAGUAAUAAGACUUAUCUCUGGUUUGCUGUUCAAUUUUUGCCUUGAACGACAAAAGCUUUCUAAAAAUAAUAUAAUGUACCACUUUUUGUAUUUGUCAUGAUAUUUUUGACCCAUUGGCAAUAAAUAGACUAUUGUCAUUUUAUUAGUACCAAUGAUGAAAUUUCACCAAACUAUUAAUCAAAAGUCACUUAUUGAACACAUUGAUAAAGCAUCAUGUUCCCUUUGAUUAUCCGCUGUAACCAACACUCAACUACAAAUAGGCUGGGAUUCAAUGUGGAGUGGUGGAUUUCCUGAAAGAAAGUAGUGCAGAUAUUUAAGGAUUGCAUAUUGUUCCUAAUGAGGAUGUAAUAAACAGGCAUUAGUACCCCUUUCUUUUAGUACCUAAAUAUGUUGUUUCUGAGCCAUAUUCUUCUUCAGGUUUAUUUUAUAAAGUGAGGACAUAUGAUAAUGAUACCAAAGGAAAGAUAAUUAUCAUGAAACCAACUUUUGGAUCAUUCCCUUUUUAUACAGUUAUGUAUUUAUAGGGAUACCUUCCUCUUCUCACAUAUUAAUUGUAUGUCAUUAAAAUCAGUUGGCUAUGUCAGUGUGUAUUAUUCACCUCUUUUGCUAGCAAGGUUUGAGAUGCUAUAUUAACAUUUAAAUCAUGAAAAUGAGCAAGUAAAUAGAAUAAUAUUUUAUUAAUAUAUGAUAUGUAAUACUUAUUGUCUAAAUCAAGUUUCCUAUUUUUGGUUUAUUUAUUUUAGAAGAAAAAAAUUAUUUGGGCAUUUUUGUUUAUAGCUCAUUACAAACUAGAGUGAUGAAUAUAUAUAUUUACUAAAGCUAAUUGAAAGAGUCAUGUAACUCAGUUGGGAAUUAACCACUCAAUUCAAUAGUAAAAGCCAUGCUUGGAUGUUUCUUUUGCAUGUUGCCUAGCAUUUUAUAGAUAUUUAUUAUUUAAAAAAAUAAAGAUAUGUUUUUAAUGAA